Molecule: ribosomal RNA, 128 nt
Filed under: Paracentrotus lividus (common urchin)
Lineage: Eukaryota; Metazoa; Echinodermata; Echinoidea; Camarodonta; Echinidae
Description: partial 12S ribosomal RNA
Source: RNAcentral
ACCGAUUUGGUCCUAGUCCUAACUUUAGCUAAUUUUUAGUUGCCACAUGCAAGCCCAAUGACAAACCAGUGAAGUAAAAAUUUUGGUCUCCCCACCUAAAAAGAGACAGGAGCAAAAAUUCUAGUAUC